Molecule: long non-coding RNA, 3797 nt
Organism: Pseudopipra pipra
Lineage: Eukaryota; Metazoa; Chordata; Aves; Passeriformes; Pipridae
Exons: 2
Source: RefSeq, a predicted model, not a curated record
UCAGGCUCUGAAAUGCACAGAUAUGGUGAAGUCUGAGUAGGAACAUUUCACUCAUCUCACUCCAGUAGUUCCCAUCAGAAGAAAAAAUUUGCCCUUUCAGCAGAUAUUUUGCAGCAAAAAAAAAAGUGCAGUGAAGAUUUGAGGAAUUAAGACAUCCUAACUUCUAAAACUGUGGCUGAAAUAUUGCUGGGGACAGAGAAAACAACUCGACAAGGCUGUGGUGUGCCAGGUCUGUACUACAGGUGUGAAACGAGCGUAUUUAGCUACCCAGCAACAAGAUACUCAGUAUGAUGAGAUAUUCUGGAAUUUUUCACAAAUGGCGUUCUGCUUCUACUGUCACAAGUGAGUGAGUGAGUACCAGCAAGCCUUGUCCCUGACUAUUUAUCUUUAUUUAAGGUAAUUUCUGAUGGCAGUGGACAGCAAAGGCCUCAGUGCAGCCCUAUCCAAGAUUCUUUAGCAAACUCUCUUUCAGGCACCAGUCAGGCCAAGCACGUUCUUCAGGUAGCUUCCCCAUACAGCAUUGUGAUGUGCCUGUUUUAGAAGGAUGAAAACAGGGCAGAAAUGUAAAAUGUUACCUCUGUCAGAAGAGACAGACACAUUCUGCUCCUGCUCUUUUGUUGUGGGAGAUUUGCUGCUUCCCUCUGUUGUGGCUCCCAAUCCUUCUGCCUGUGACGUAGGUUCUAUUUCUGAUGCAUCCAGUGAAUUGUCCAAGUCCCAGGAAGUGACCAUUGUCCCUGGCAAUGAAUUUCACUGCGUUAUACACGUCUCUCAUUUUGGUACAUUAUUACAAGGGCCUUGAGCAGGGCCAGCUCCUGCCCAAACCUCACCUUUAUAUGCUCAGCUCUUCAAACAGGGGUUGGAACAAGCCCUGCUGAUGCUCAAGGCACUCAAAAAAAGUGGCAAAUACGUUUUCAAAUCAGAUUAUCUACUUCUUUUAUUUUUUCCCUCAUUUUACAUGCACUAACAAACACAAAGGAAAAAUGUUUUAGACAGCAUUUCCCAUAGUUUUCUUUGGCCUCCUACACACAAAAGGCACAUUUUUUUUAGAGCGCUGAGGUUGUACAUUCUGUAAAAUUGCAUCGAUCUUGUGAGACUGCCAAGAUUUCCUGCUUUCCCCAAGGUUUUAAAUCUCAUAACAGAGGUUCCCUUCUUUGCAUUAAGACAAACAGAAAUAGAAACCAGCGUCACUGAAAAGUUAAAGGGGGAAAAGGAAGCUGUGUCCUUUCAUGUUUCAAGGGAAGAGCUGAGGAUUAGCUGGAGAAGCUCUGCUUGCAAAGUGCUGAGGCAGGCAGGGCACAGCAGCUCUCAUUUAGUGUUCAUGACUGUUUUAUUGCAAUGGAUACAGUGUUCCAGCAACAAGUUCACAUUUUAGGAGGGCCAGAAAAGGCCACCACAAAUCACACUGCCCUAUCUGAACUCAAAGCUCUGGAAGUGAAAGUUGAGGAAACAUCCCAAGAUGGAAGAAAUAAAAAAGCCCUUUUCUCAGUGUUCUGCCAGCUGCAGGGAGUGUUUUGAGUUUUACCUUUAUCUUCCAUGAUAAUUGUCUCACAUUGCACUUCCUUGUUUUUGGCAGCCCCAGCCAGGGUUUGCACCAUUCUCUCUUCAAAGCGUUCGCUGCUAGCUUUGGCUUUGCACAUGUCAGCGUAAAUCUUAUUCCGCUCCCUCGAAAACAAAGAAGACAGUGUUUGGCAACUCUCUGAAAAACUUCUGCAUUCAAAUUCUCAGUGUCUUUGAACAGGAGAGGACACUCCAUUUUUUACAUUUAUUGCUUGGAUGUUUUUGGAUUGCUACAUGUUAUUUCAGUGUUUGUAUUUCUCUCAGCAGCUGUUUCUGACCUUUGUGAUGCUGUUCUAAAACAGGAAUGGCUUGUAGAGAGCAGGACCAGCAAAAAUCCCUACCCCAACUACCUGUAAAUUUUGGGGGAAUUCAGAGGAGUUCAGAAAUACGUAGCUCUCUUCACUUGGGAGUGAAAGGCAGAGCAUCCAAGACACAGAAAGGAAACUGCUCCAUUUCUAUUACCCCCAGCCCUCAAGUUCUGUAGGGAUGUCAGUGGGAAUUAUGAACAUUUAUUAUUUUGGUUUCACUAUUUGAGCAGAUGACGUGGGUCAUACCCCACCCCUGCUGUGCUCAGGAAGAAUUACUGUUCCUGUACAGCUGGCCAUACCCUCUGUGCACACCAGCGAAGCCUGAUUUGUUGGAUGCUCAUCCUCUUAUUCUUCCCAAAAAGCCCACCAGUGUGAUUGACAAACAUUGGGGUUGGAGUCCUACCAUGAACUUGGUGUGGACACAAGCAGAAAGAGCUUGCUUAGAGGAGUUGUUUGACUUGUCAGCUGCAGCUUUGGGGCUUUGUGUUUCCAAAAGCUGUGUGACAGGUCUGUCACAUGGAGAGAACUUUGCUGCUCUCUGUCCCAGUCAGCUCCUGGGAAUAAGCCAAAAACCUGGGUUAACUCCCCACCAAAGCUCAUGGGAGUCCAGGGAGGACUCUGAAGUGGGAAUACUAAGGGGAGACACAAUAUUAUGGUUCCUUCUAACUAGAAGCACUGUGAGGAGCUUCAGAGGAAGCCAACACUUAGUAUGUUUAUCUCUUCUUUAUUAAUAAAUAAUUAGCUGUAAAGCUACACACAAAGAUGAAUGCAGAGGUUUGUGAUUUCCUACUGUUUUCAUGAAAAUUUAGUCAUGUAAUUCCUUAUCACAUGCUUCUCUUUCCCUUACCCUCUGCUUUUCCUAACCUGCCUUAAUUUUUCAGUGAAAGACAAAAUGAAUUUCAUCAACGUGAUGGAGUUGCAAGAAAUUUAGCCUUGUCAAAGAGAGACCCAAGGCUUUGAACACAGAUGAAAUGGGGGCCAAUCUAUACCUACAGAACUCUCCCAGCAUCUUCUGCUUCCACAGACACCAUGACAGAGGGCAUAUCAAACAUCCAGAGUGUGUCUGUCUCUGAGAGGUAAAUAUCCACUCUCUGAUCCAGGUCUGCCUCUGUUAAUUCUUCUUCCAUCUCCUCCUGCCCCACCUGCACAGCUGAAAAAUGAGGUGAACAAGUGCUUUUCUGCUCUGAAUUUAAAAGAAGACAAAUUAAUUCUUAAAGUAUUGUAAAGCACCGAGUUCCUUUGAAGUGCUGGGCUGACUCAGUGUCUCACAAAUCCCAGUGCUCCAAAGAACAGUUUAAAUCUAUAAUUAUAGUGUCUGUUCUUUACCAGAUAAGCUCAAAGUUGGGUCUUGUCCAGAGCCAGGUUCUGCUGUUCCCUCGAGGCCAGACUUGGUUGUUGAUUUGUUUGAUAUCCAAGUGCUGCUGCUUCCAUAUGUCCUUCAGUGACAAGAAAUAAGCAGAAAUUGUCUCAAAAAAAGAGAUGUCUUAUUUUCAGGAGAUACUUUAUAUUUUUUAAGUCAUUUUUUGUCUAUAUUUGCUCCUGGUUGAUAUCCCAGCCUCUGGGAUUAUGUGUUGUAACAGCCAGCCUGGGAAACAUGACAGAAGGAUGGUCCUCAAAGAGCAAUUUCUUUAUCUUAAAAAUCACAACUGCAGUUAUUUAUUGCAUUUUGAUGCAGUGAUGUGGCUCAUGAUUUUUCCUUUUAAACACAAAUAGUUAUUUACCUUCUUUUUGUAUGACUUAAUUGAAUUUGUCAUUUGGAUGCACAUAAUCACCCAGAGGUAACUGGUUUAAAUUAGUAAAAGAGAGAAUGUUAACAAGAUUUGUAUAUUUUUAAUAAUUUAAUAUUUGAAUUUAUAUAUUUUACAUUUUUGCAAAAAAGAUUGUCUGUACUUAAUAAGUAUUAUCAACACAGAUAAAAUACUUGAAAAUAAA